This 305-nucleotide ribosomal RNA is filed under the name uncultured bacterium. RNAcentral describes it as "bacterial SSU rRNA". It matches the Rfam family "Bacterial small subunit ribosomal RNA", at positions 338 to 660 of the family's 1533-position model. The record is from RNAcentral.
CCUACGGGGGGCAGCAGUGGGGAAUAUUGCACAAUGGGGGGAACCCUGAUGCAGCGACGCCGCGUGAAGGAUGAAGUAUUUCGGUACGUAAACUUCUAUCAGCAGGGAAGAAAAUGACGGUACCUGACUAAGAAGCCCCGGCUAACUACGUGCCAGCAGCCGCGGUAAUACGUAGGGGGCAAGCGUUAUCCGGAUUUACUGGGUGUAAAGGGAGCGUAGACGGGCCAGCAAGUCUGAUGUGAAAACCCGGGGCCCAACCCCGGGAGUGCAUUGGAAACUGCGGGCCUGGAGUGCCGGAGAGGUAA